RNAcentral lists this non-coding RNA (27 nucleotides) under Mus musculus (house mouse). The record is from RNAcentral. Lineage: Eukaryota; Metazoa; Chordata; Mammalia; Rodentia; Muridae.
UAGUAAGAUGAGCGAGGCGGACCAGGC